RNAcentral lists this ribosomal RNA (504 nucleotides) under uncultured bacterium. RNAcentral's name for it is "partial 16S ribosomal RNA". It matches the Rfam family "Bacterial small subunit ribosomal RNA", at positions 28 to 523 of the family's 1533-position model. The record is from RNAcentral.
GAUAUACGCUAGCGGCAGGCUUAACACAUGCGAGUCGAGGGGCAGCAUAGAUUGUAGCAAUACAAUUGGUGGCGACCGGCGCACGGGUGCGUAACGCGUAUGCAACCUACCCGUCACAGGGGGAUAAUCCGGAGAAAUCUGGUCUAAUACCCCAUAACAUAUGGAUCGGCAUCGGUUCAUGUUGAAAUUUUCGGAGGUGACGGAUGGGCAUGCGUAGCAUUAGCUUGUUGGUGAGGUAACGGCUCACCAAGGCGACGAUGCUUAGGGGGACUGAGAGGUUUUCCCCCCACACUGGUACUGAGACACGGACCAGACUCCUACGGGAGGCAGCAGUGCGGAAUAUUGGUCAAUGGGCGCAAGCCUGAACCAGCCAUGCCGCGUGCAGGAUGACGGCUCUAUGAGUUGUAAACUGCUUUUGUACGAGGGUAAAGUGGGUUACGUGUAACCUUUUGAAAGUAUCGUACGAAUAAGGAUCGGCUAACUCCGUGCCAGCAGCCGCGGUAA